This 492-nucleotide ribosomal RNA is filed under the name uncultured bacterium. Its description in RNAcentral is "partial 16S ribosomal RNA". It matches the Rfam family "Bacterial small subunit ribosomal RNA", at positions 29 to 507 of the family's 1533-position model. The record is from RNAcentral.
AGUGAACGCUGGCGGUAGGCCUAACACAUGCAAGUCGAACGGCAGCACAGUAAGAGCUUGCUCUUACGGGUGGCGAGUGGCGGACGGGUGAGGAAUACAUCGGAAUCUACUUUUUCGUGGGGGAUAACGUAGGGAAACUUACGCUAAUACCGCAUACGACCUACGGGUGAAAGCAGGGGAUCUUCGGACCUUGCGCGAUUGAAUGAGCCGAUGUCGGAUUAGCUAGUUGGCGGGGUAAAGGCCCACCAAGGCGACGAUCCGUAGCUGGUCUGAGAGGAUGAUCAGCCACGCUGGAACUGAGACACGGUCCAGACUCCUACGUGAGGCAGCAGUGAGGAAUAUUGGACAAUGGGCGCAAGCCUGAUCCAGCCAUACCGCGUGGGUGAAGAAGGCCUUCGGGUUGUAAAGCCCUUUUGUUGGGAAAGAAAAGCAGCAGGUUAAUACCCCGCUGUUCUGACGGUACCCAAAGAAUAAGCACCGGCUAACUUCGUG